RNAcentral lists this long non-coding RNA (725 nucleotides) under Felis catus (domestic cat). Its description in RNAcentral is "lncRNA (ENSFCAG00000047473.1)". Lineage: Eukaryota; Metazoa; Chordata; Mammalia; Carnivora; Felidae. The record is from RNAcentral.
CCCCAGACCAAUCAAAAAAGAAUCAUCCGGGUUCAUCUAAAGCAUUAGUAUUUUUUAAACACUCCGCAUAAUUCCAAUGUGCAACCAAGUGUGACAACCCCUGCUGUGGAUCCUGGAUACUCAAAAUGGGCCAGCAUGAUCCAUGUCACCUGGGAGCUUGUUGGAAAUGCAGACUCUCAGACCUCCAGGUGAUUCUUGAGUUUAUUGAAGUUUGAGAAGCUCUUGGAUAGAUAAAUAUUUAUCGCUAACAAAACCUCGGAUCACUUCAAUGCAGCUGCAUUCGUGCAACGUCAGCAUGUUUCCGUCUGUUUGUUUCAGGACCUCAUCGUUGGCCUUUGGAAUGAGAGGCCUGGUAUAUCAGGAGUGGCCCACAGCUACAUUUGUGCUCUGACACGUUGGGAAGCCCCCAUGAUCUGUUCAGAAGAGAGCUAUUCACAGCUCAUUGCCAGGAAGGGGACCUAUGUGAGCAAAGGGGUCAAGUCCAGUCAGCUGGAACUAAGUGAGAAAAAUGCGAUGAUGCUUUAAAGGGAAAUUAGUAUAGCCAGUUUUACUCUCUGGGAAGCUUACACCGGAUAUGAUUUAUUUGUUGACUUUAUGAUAAUAUGGAAAAUGAAGACCUGGUUAAUUUCAGGUGAAUCUGACAUAAAAGGUAAAAUCAUUCUUUCAUUAACCUCCUCUUGCUCUUAAGUACAUACAUAACGGGCAGGCAGCUCCAAAUUCUUCAU